GUCACGUUUGAAUAAAGGUAAAGAGGUUAAGGGCAAAUACACUCUGUGGUGAAUUAUGGUGGUUUUUGCUCUCAGAUUGCAUGACAGAGCAUCUGAUGGAUAUUGCUCAACAAUUAUGGUAAGAGCUGGUGGUAAUAGAGUUCAAAUUUGAUUGGUUUGCUUUCCAGGAGUGAUAGUGCACUUGUUUUAAUCAUUCUGCUGGGAAACAAAGGCAUUUGCAAGUUACAAUUGACCAUAUCCAUGGAAGAGCACGAUGCUACAUUCGCCAAAAUUUGCAAGGUUUGGGAAAAAUUGAAGAAUUGACUCCCCUUCAGUUUGUCAGUGUGAAACUGAAUUAAAUUGGCUACACUUCCAAGACAUCCAACAGUGCCCAGUUCUUGGUCAGAUGAAGUUCAAAGUGAGCUAGACCUUGUGCCAGUAGUCUCCAGGCUGAAAUCUUCGAUUUUCAGCUCAUAAAGUCAUAUGAAGACAAGCACAGUCGUGACAGAAUGAUGAGCUUUGGGGCGUCUGACAUCAGAGCGGGCCACGGGUUUUAUUGCAUCCACUGAAAAUGGAUAUUUAACAAAUCGUUGAACACAUUUUUAUGUGGCCGUAGGCUGUGGCAAAGAAGAGCAGCGAAAUUCAUAAGGCUCACUGCUACACGUGGGUGGGAAAUAUAUUUUAUGAAAAAAAAAAAAAAAUCACAGACUGCACUUUCUUCUUUGCAGGGGUUUUAGGAUAGCGAGAGGACAGGAAAUGAUUGGAGGAAGAGAAGGAAAUGGGAACUCAAACUCCAGCAGAUUUGCUGAUGGUUGUUCACCAGAUACACCACUGUCAAACCAGAACAAACAAGCAUGAAAUUAAGGCUUUUCUAAGCCAGGGCUAAUAUAAGAGGCUUUUGCACCGGUAGUUAUAGGAACUCAAUUAUAAGAACUAGUCACCAGGAGGGUUCUCCAAGAACGAAAUUUUCCCCUAGGGCCAUUUUCCUGGUUGCAAAAGGCUUUUGCACCGUGCAGUUCUAGGAACUUGGUUCUGAGUUCAGUUCCCAGAGAACCAGUUUUCUCCUCAGUCCAUUUUCCUGGUUGCACUCACGCCUGCAGCAGGAACUCUGAAGCAGCCUACAGCGACUUUAUGCUAAAAUUUACAAAGGUCAGCAACCAGUGAAUGGGGGACACCGUGAUCGGAGCAGUUUUUGUUGUGUGUCGUGGAUUUCAUGAUAAUGGAGAAGGAAUGUAAACACACAAUUUACGCACCUGAAAGAGCAUGAAAAUCUGACUAAAUCUCUUAUGAUAAUUUGCAAUGUUACAUAUCAUCAAGGCUGAGAAAAGAACACAGUUCUUGGCUAAAUGCCAUUGUUGCUGGUUUACAUGUUUGUGGAGUAAAUAUUUUUACUGAUCCAUAUGACGCCACUGAAUCAAUCAUGAACUGACUUUAACUAACAAAAUUUGAGUGUUUACUAUUGUCCUUUUGCAUUAUCGACACACUGUUUUCCUAUUUAACACUGUAAAGCUGCUUUGAAACAAUCUGUAUUGUUAAAGGGCUAUAUAAAUAAAGGUGAGCUGACUUGACUUGACUUAAAAUCCUUACGAGUUCCCUGCGAGCGUGCAAAAAAGCAA
Molecule: long non-coding RNA, 1595 nt
Organism: Cyprinus carpio carpio
Lineage: Eukaryota; Metazoa; Chordata; Actinopteri; Cypriniformes; Cyprinidae
Source: Ensembl